CCCCCCUUGACCUCAAAUCGGGUGAGACUACCCGCUGAACUUAAGCAUAUCAAUAAGCGGAGGAAAAGAAACUAACAAGGAUUCCCCUAGUAACUGCGAGUGAAGCGGGAAAAGCUCAAAUUUAAAAUCUGGCGGUCUUUUGGCCGUUCCGAGUUGUAAUUUAGAGAAGCGUCUUCCGCGCCGGACCGUGCACAAGUCUCCUGGAAUGGAGCGUCAUAGAGGGUGAGAAUCCCGUCUUUGGCACGGACCCCCGGUGCUUCUGUGAUGCGCUCUCAAAGAGUCGAGUUGUUUGGGAAUGCAGCUCAAAAUGGGUGGUGAACUCCAUCUAAAGCUAAAUAUUGGCGAGAGACCGAUAGCGAACAAGUACCGUGAGGGAAAGAUGAAAAGCACUUUGGAAAGAGAGUGAAACAGUACGUGAAAUUGUUGAAAGGGAAACGCUUGAAGUCAGUCGCGUCGUUCGAGACUCAGCCCUCGCCUCGGCUUGGUGUACUUCUCGAUCGACGGGCCAGCAUCAAUUUCGUCCCUCGGAUAAUGGCAAGGGAAAGGUGGCAUCCUCACGGGUGUGUUAUAGUCUCCUGUCACAUGCGAGGGGUGGGAUUGAGGAACUCAGCACGCUCCUUUUCUAGGGGUCGGAGCUUCGGCUCACGUUACGUGCUUAGGAUGUUGGCGUAAUGGCUUUAAACGACCCGUCUUGAAACACGGACCAAGGAGUCUAACAUGCCCGCGAGUGUUCGGGUGGAAAACCCGUGCGCGUAAUGAAAGUAAAAGUUGGGACCUCUGUCGUGGAGGGCACCGACGCCCGGACCAGACCUUCUGUGACGGCUCUGCGGUAGAGCGUGCAUGUUGGGACCCGAAAGAUGGUGAACUAUGCCUGAAUAGGGUGAAGCCAGAGGAAACUCUGGUGGAGGCUCGUAGCGAUUCUGACGUGCAAAUCGAUCGUCAAAUUUGGGUAUAGGGGCGAAAGACUAAUCG
RNAcentral lists this ribosomal RNA (972 nucleotides) under uncultured fungus. RNAcentral describes it as "eukaryotic LSU rRNA". It matches the Rfam family "Eukaryotic large subunit ribosomal RNA", at positions 1 to 937 of the family's 3401-position model. The record is from RNAcentral. Lineage: Eukaryota; Fungi.